GGUUCGGUGGUGUAGUGGUUAUCACGUCUGUCUCACAUCGGUGAUUUAUGGAUUGGAUGUACACAGGAGGUCCCCGGUUCGAGACCGGGUCGAACCA
This is a non-coding RNA of Rhodocollybia butyracea, 97 nucleotides long. The record is from the annotation of a GenBank genome assembly. Lineage: Eukaryota; Fungi; Basidiomycota; Agaricomycetes; Agaricales; Omphalotaceae.